This is a long non-coding RNA of Ictalurus punctatus (channel catfish), 1724 nucleotides long. Lineage: Eukaryota; Metazoa; Chordata; Actinopteri; Siluriformes; Ictaluridae. The record is from Ensembl.
UUUGAAGGCCCAGGUGAAUUGAGAGGAGAUAUUGAUUUUCUUUUAUCCAUGCGGUACUCAGGGAUUACCGAUUUUCUCAUUUAUUUUUAAAGACUAUCUUUCAUGAGGCUUUUUCCCUCCCUUUCUUCUCUUCUGGUUACCUACUAUUCUUUUUUUCUUAACAGCAUUUGUACCCAUUCUCGUCCCAUAUCUGAAUCCCUCCUUGACCCUGAAAAUUGUAAUUCUGCUAUAGAUCAGAGCUGCUGAAUAAUAGCUUUUACAAAACUGCUUAAAUAAAAUAUGUUCAAAUCGCUGAAGUCCCAAAGGCCUUGAAAGAAACUCUAAUGAGAGGCUUGAAGAAGAAGAGAAAGGACAUAGGAGGAAAAGAGGGACUAGUUGCGCUGCAUUGUGAGGACAUGAAUCAUCCGCAACACCUGUUCAGAACAUACAGCACAGAGCUGGAGGGGACGCGUUCGCCCACUGUGAUAUGCUAACGGUUCACUAAAUACACGGCACUAAAGUGGGACGUGCCGAAAGGAAGAUAAAUAAUAGUUUAUAGACACGAUCUUUUAAAAUGUGCACUUGAAGGAACUAAAGGAGAAAAACAGCGAAAUGUUGUAGAUUAAAUAUGACAGACUCAGGGCAGCCAAAUUAACCUUUCAGACAAAGGCAAGAAAACCUCUCAGCCUCUCAGAGGCUUGUUACAAAUAUUUUUUAUAGGCACAGUGAAUAAUUUUCCACUGCAUUAUGAUCCAACUUGAGAUAUCAAACAUCAAAUCAUCGUUUAUAGGAUGUAUACAUGCAUAAUAAAUGAUAUCUUCACAUCAGGAAAACUGAGAAUUCUACAAUAUUAUGCAAGUGCAAUUCAAUUGUAUUUGUAUAGCGCUUUUAACAAUGGACAUUGUCUCAAAGCAGCUUUACAGAAACAUAUAAACACAGGAUACAGAUUUUAAAUGUGUGAAUUUAUCUCUGUUGAGCAAGCCAGUGGUGACGGUGGCAAGAAAAUCUCCUUAAGAUGAUAUGAGGAAGAAACCUUGAGAGGAACCAGACUCAGAAGGGAACCCGUCCUCAUCUGGGUAACAACGGAUAAUGUGAAAGUAAAAGAAAGUUCAUUAUGGUUUUAUAUGAAGUCUGUUUUGUUGAACUAGACGCAUGUCUGUGAAACACAUGUUAUCCGAUCAUUAUCUUUAAUUGCUCUCUCAAACUGCCUAAACAUGAAUAUAUACCAUAUUAUUGUUUCAGCAGGACUCACAUGACCAGGGAUCAUUACAGAUUAGAGAUGACAGGACUUCCUCAACCAACAUGGGAUAGAGGGGCUUCCUGCCUCCCCCUGUGGCCAAGCUGCAGCGAUGAAAAACUAACAGGAAACAACACCUCUUAUGCACCGGGGCAAAUACAAGCGCUGAGAAGGUGAAAGCACUUGGCUCUUAUGAAGAUUUCCUCCCAACCCCAAUUACCACAGAUUCACACUUCGCACAGGCACAAGGAGGAACUCCAAGAAAAAAGGCCCUGCUGUUCUUGUGUCUGGUUUAGGAAGAAGCUCCACAGACGAGGUGCUCAGCCUCUCCAGGGACAAUCGGCCGCGGGCCCUACAACAGCGCAAGGCUCGCCCAAAACACAAGGCCGUCAUUAAAGAAGGCCCUCUUUUAGUCAGAAGCACAAAGUGGGGUCAGAACUGCAAUGCCUUUUCCACAUGUGUCCAAUCCAAGGGCUUUUGACAUGGCAUUGUUUACUAUUCAAGCAGG